This 505-nucleotide ribosomal RNA is filed under the name uncultured bacterium. Its description in RNAcentral is "partial 16S ribosomal RNA". It matches the Rfam family "Bacterial small subunit ribosomal RNA", at positions 28 to 507 of the family's 1533-position model. The record is from RNAcentral.
GACGAACGCUGGCGGCGUGCCUAAUACAUGCAAGUAGAACGCACAGUUUAUACCGUAGCUUGCUACACCAUAGACUGUGAGUUGCGAACGGGUGAGUAACGCGUAGGUAACCUGCCUGGUAGCGGGGGAUAACUAUUGGAAACGAUAGCUAAUACCGCAUAAUAUUGAUUAUUGCAUGAUAAUUGAUUGAAAGAUGCUAUUGCAUCACUACCAGAUGGACCUGCGUUGUAUUAGCUAGUAGGUGAGGUAACGGCUCACCUAGGCGACGAUACAUAGCCGACCUGAGAGGGUGAUCGGCCACACUGGGACUGAGACACGGCCCAGACGCCUACGGGAGGCAGCAGUAGGGAAUCUUCGGCAAUGGACGAAAGUCUGACCGAGCAACGCCGCGUGAGUGAAGAAGGUUGUCGGAUCGUAAAGCUCGGUUGUAAGAGAAGAACGGGUGUGAGAGUGGAAAGUUCACACUGUGACGGUAGCUGACCAGAAAGGGACGGCUAACUACGUG